CCCUUAGAUGUUCUGGGCCGCACGCGCGCUACACUGACGGAGUCAACGAGUUGUCCUGCAUCGGAAGGUGUGGGUAAUCUUUUGAAACUUCGUCGUGCUGGGGAUAGAUCUUUGCAAUUUUCGAUCUUGAACGAGGAAUUCCUAGUAAGCGUGAUUCAUCAGAUCGCGCUGAUUACGUCCCUGCCCUUUGUACACACCGCCCGUCGCUACUACCGAUUGAAUGGUUUAGUGAGGCCUCGGGACUGGCGCGCUCGAGUAGCAAUACACCUGCGCGCCGGGAACUUGGUCAAACUUGAUCAUUUAGAGGAAGUAAAAGUCGUAACA
This 324-nucleotide ribosomal RNA is filed under the name uncultured eukaryote. RNAcentral describes it as "partial 18S ribosomal RNA". It matches the Rfam family "Eukaryotic small subunit ribosomal RNA", at positions 1470 to 1796 of the family's 1831-position model. The record is from RNAcentral.